RNAcentral lists this ribosomal RNA (414 nucleotides) under uncultured microorganism. RNAcentral describes it as "bacterial SSU rRNA". It matches the Rfam family "Archaeal small subunit ribosomal RNA", at positions 459 to 872 of the family's 1478-position model. The record is from RNAcentral.
CAGCCGCCGCGGUAAUACCGGCGGCCCGAGUGGCGGUCACUAUUAUUGGGCUUAAAGCGUCCGUAGCCGGGUUGGGAAGUCCUCCGGGAAAUCUGGCCGCUUAAAGGUCAGAAUGCCGGAGGAUACUCCCAGCCUAGGGAGCGGGAGAGGCCGAGGGUAUUCCCGGAGUAGGGGGGAAAUCCUAUAAUCCCGGGAGGACCACCUGUGGCGAAGGCGCUCGGCUGGAACGCGUCCGACGGGGAGGGACGAAGGCCAGGGGAGCAAACCGGAUUAGAUACCCGGGUAGUCCUGGCGGUAAACGAUGCGGACUUUGUGUCGGACAAGCUAUGAGCUUGUCCGGUGCCGGAGGGAAACCGUUAAGUCCGCCGCCUGGGGAGUACGGCCGCAAGGCUGAAACUUAAAGGAAUUGGCGGG